Molecule: long non-coding RNA, 951 nt
Filed under: Marmota monax (woodchuck)
Lineage: Eukaryota; Metazoa; Chordata; Mammalia; Rodentia; Sciuridae
Source: RNAcentral
CAAUGUUUUUAUUUCUAUGCAGUUUCUUUCUAUGUGGUGUUCCUUCCCCUGCCUCAGCUCCACAUUGCUGUUUCCUGAGAGUGGGAGUAUCUUCAUAGUAGGGAACAAAGCAUCAAAGUCCAUCUAAUAGACAAAAUUCUGUCUCAACCCAGUGAAGAGGCUAAUGAUGUUCUGUUAAUGCUCACUUUUGUUUAAAAAAUUAGUAUUAGAUUUAAGUAAGUCUAUCAUUUUCUUCCAGGAGAAAGAAGCACCUAGUGACCACUCUGUAGAAUUAGCAGUCCAGGAUUCUGUCAAGUAUGGAUUUUGACAAAUAGAGAUUGCAUGAAUUAACUGGAGAAACAGCCCAACAAUAUAAAAGUGGAAAAACAGUAAUAAAUAUGAACAGGAAGGAGAGAUCUGAUGGGUAACCUUAGCUCAUCUAGAUAUUCACAGUCUAAAAGGAGUCAGCAUCACAAGUAUGAUUCCUGCAUAAGUCUGUUUCCUGUUAUGUAUUGUUGCAAUCAGUAUCCUUAAUCCCAGAUUUUCAAAGAGCAAUCUUCCUGCAUCAAAUUCUAAGUGAGGUUGAGAGGAUUCUGAAGGUACAUUGGCACAUUAUUUUCACAUUUCCAGAAGACAGAUUAUGUUGAAGUACAUGUGCUGAUUGAGAACAUUAUGAACACAAAGAACAGAAUUUAUUUUAUAAGGUGAGCCUUUUCUGUCUCCCAAGAGAGGGGUCCAUAUCAUGUUGUCCUGGGUUCCCAUCAGAACUCAAAGGGACAUUUCCAUAAUGACUAUAGAUCCUGAUAUCCUGCAUAUGAAGAAAGAAGUUUCCCUUAAAUUCUUUGCAGUAAAAGAACCUGCUCUUAGGAGACACUAGCUUUGACCUCCAAAUGGAGCAGUCCAUGUUCAAAGCAAAGGUGAUGGCAUCUACAGCAUAUAUCUGAGCAGGAUCUGGGAGAAAAUUCUAUUGGC